RNAcentral lists this ribosomal RNA (57 nucleotides) under Parmelia barrenoae. RNAcentral describes it as "partial 18S ribosomal RNA". The record is from RNAcentral. Lineage: Eukaryota; Fungi; Ascomycota; Lecanoromycetes; Lecanorales; Parmeliaceae.
GAUUAAGCCAUGCAUGUCUAAGUAUAAGCAAUCUAUACGUGAAACUGCGAAUGGCUC